This 198-nucleotide ribosomal RNA is filed under the name uncultured bacterium. RNAcentral describes it as "partial 16S ribosomal RNA". It matches the Rfam family "Bacterial small subunit ribosomal RNA", at positions 328 to 539 of the family's 1533-position model. The record is from RNAcentral.
ACGCUCGACACCUACGGGAGGUAGCAGUCGGGAAUAUUGCGCAAUGGAGGGAACUCUGACGCAGUGACGCCGCGUAUAGGAAGAAGGUUUUCGGAUUGUAAACUAUUGUCGUUAGGGAAGAGAAAGGACAGUACCUAAGGAGGAAGCUCCGGCUAACUACGUGCCAGCAGCCCGGUAAUCUGAGCGGGCUGGCAAGGC